Molecule: long non-coding RNA, 596 nt
Organism: Pezoporus occidentalis (night parrot)
Lineage: Eukaryota; Metazoa; Chordata; Aves; Psittaciformes; Psittacidae
Exons: 4
Source: RefSeq, a predicted model, not a curated record
AGCUCUGUUAAAACCAAUGGAGAUAUCAAUAUGUGUCAAACUGCACAGGCAUGGAAAAUCUUGAUUAAUUCUGCACCUUAGGAAUCAGCAUUCAUGACAGCAAGCUUUCUUAUUUUGAUUUCCUAAGUGCAAUUGAUGAUGGCAGAGCAUCUAAAAACCAACAGAGACAAAAGCAGGAUACACCACCUGCAAGUUUUGCAGUGCUCAGCUUAGAACAGACCCUAAUUAAGAUAAAAGAAAUAGUUGCAUCAUCUCAUGAUUUGUUGUACAAGACUGAGGAAGGGCAAAAAGUCACUCCUCCUUAAUCUGCUUGGGAGCUGUCAGAGAGAGGCAUCUUCUCACAGAUACAAGUAGUGACUGCUGGCUUUAACACAAUUGCACAGGAGUUUAAAGAUAUUUACUCUUCAAAAGAUACUACAGUAUAUCAAAAAAGGAGUUCUGGGCUAUAUGUAACCAACAUUUUCAGCAGCUGACUGAAGAACAAUUUGAGAAUCUUUGGAACACCUUGGAUGUCUGUGGUAGUGGACAGUUGAAAUAACAGGACUUUUUUGAAGAAGUUCAGCUCUGAACUUCUAACAGUAUCAUCAAGCACUCCC